GGGGUCAUAGUUCAACGGCAGAAUGUCGGUCUCCAAAACCGAUGAUCGAGGUUCAAAUCCUCGUGACCCCGCUA
This 74-nucleotide transfer RNA is filed under the name Candidatus Wolfebacteria bacterium. Its description in RNAcentral is "tRNA-Trp". It matches the Rfam family "tRNA". From Rfam's summary of the family: Transfer RNA (tRNA) molecules are approximately 80 nucleotides in length. Their secondary structure includes four short double-helical elements and three loops (D, anti-codon, and T loops). Lineage: Bacteria; Candidatus Wolfeibacteriota. The record is from RNAcentral.